This 497-nucleotide ribosomal RNA is filed under the name uncultured bacterium. Its description in RNAcentral is "partial 16S ribosomal RNA". It matches the Rfam family "Bacterial small subunit ribosomal RNA", at positions 28 to 507 of the family's 1533-position model. The record is from RNAcentral.
GAUGAACGCUGGCGGCGUGCCUAAUACAUGCAAGUCGAGCGAACGGACGAUAAGCUUGCUUCUCUGAUGUUAGCGGCGGACGGGUGAGUAACACGUGGAUAACCUACCUAUAAGACUGGGAUAACUUCGGGAAACCGGAGCUAAUACCGGAUAAUAUUUUGAACCGCAUGGUUCAAAAGUGAAAGACGGUCUUUCUGUCACUUAUAGAUGGAUCCGCGAUGCAUUAGCUAGUUGGUAAGGUAACGGCUUACCAAGGCAACGAUGCAUAGCCGACCUGAGAGGGUGAUCGGCCACACUGGAACUGAGACACGGUCCAGACUCCUACGGGAGGCAGCAGUAGGGAAUCUUACGCAAUGGGCGGAAGCCUGACGGAGCAACGCCGCGUGAGUGAUGAAGGUCUUCGGAUCGUAAAACUCUGUUAUUAGGGAAGAACAUAUGUGUAAGUAACGGUGCACAUCUUGACGGUACCUUAUCAGAAAGCCACGGCUAACUACGUG